Mesocricetus auratus (golden hamster) is the source of this 471-nucleotide long non-coding RNA. RefSeq lists it as uncharacterized. NCBI's taxonomy places the organism in Eukaryota, Metazoa, Chordata, Mammalia, Rodentia, Cricetidae. The transcript has 2 exons. The record is from RefSeq and is a predicted model, not a curated record.
AAUCAAAUUACCUGGAGCCCAGAGGCAGGACUAAGAAUCCAGACUGCUCAUAAUAUCAACAGAAACCAAACAACUUCUUUGAAGGUGCCUUGGAGAAGACUCAGAGUAUCUCCUGAGUCACUGUUUUAACCAAGCAGUGUUCCGGCGUGGAGGAUGGCAAAACCAAGGUAGGAAAGGUAGAAGACACCUUGUGUCUCUCUUGGUGAUGGAGCCCCAGCAACUCUUCCUCUGAUAAGAAGAGCAGUGGCAUCAUGGCCCUUCCAGCCUCGUGAGCUCAUCUGAACCUGCCCCCUUCCCACAGCAGACCUCUUCUGUCGGCCUGCCCUGGUGCUAUCAGGGGGAGGGGAGUUGGUUUCAGUGCUCUAUCUUUUGGAGACCACAAGUAUGCAGGUCAGUCUAUCCCAUCCUGUUCAGAGUUCCAGAGGCCUCUUUGCUGUGGUCAAUAAUAAACCUCACCUUCAGACAAUGCCA